RNAcentral lists this unclassified non-coding RNA (191 nucleotides) under soil metagenome. RNAcentral's name for it is "partial internal transcribed spacer 1". The record is from RNAcentral.
ACGAGUUAGGGUCUUCUAGGCCCGACCUCCCAACCCUACGUUUAUUGAACCUCUGUUGCUUCGGCGGACCCGCCUCACGGCCGCCGGAGGACCGCUGCAAGGCGUCCUCUGGCCAGCGUCCGCCGAUGGCCAACCACUUAAACUCUGAAUGAAUCGUGUCAUGUGUCUAAGUCUAUGAUUAAAUUAAAGCA